UUACAUGACACUAACAAACGUCAAUGCAACUUUUGCUCUUGAAUAAAUUAUGCAAAUUGACCACCAUAUUGAAAAUGAGUUAUCGUUCUUUGCCCACGCUUCGAUUCGUCUAGCUAACUGCGCAACUAAAAAUAGUAUAGGUAAUUUCCGAAUGAAGUAUGCGCAGUUAUUGCCCUUUGAUAACUCUUUUUUAACUCUAACGUGACAUGCAAACAGCAAAGAAAUCGGUUAAUAUUUGGAAUUUUGGCGAUUUUUUUUAAAGUUAUGGUAGGUUAAAAAAAGGGAUUUACAUAUUAAAGAUGCAAAAAUUAAACAAGUUUAGACAAUUAUGUGCAAUUUCUUCAGAUUUUGUGACAAUUGUUUGAAAUUAUUUAGGCUUUCUACUUUCGAUUUCGCAAAGGUUCAUUAUGCGUCGUUCUAUGGAUUUUUGCGUCGAUCACCCCAAUUGAGAUUGGGUGUUCGUUCAUGAUUGGAUGUUUCUGUCUGAUUAAAGGUUGUUUUUUUACAUUUCAGAAAUUGCUAGAUCUGAAUUAUUACUUUGUAACGAAAUAUAUGUAUGCAUAUAUCUGAUACACAGUGCAGCGACUGCCAGUGCAAUGUGAUCAUCUUCAUCUGCAUCAAACGCCCUAGUUCUGUUUACCUCCAAACAAGUAUGACCCUCUGCUGGAAAAAAGUCACCAUUGAUCAAUUCUAAGUCCCUUCUUUUCCUACUCGAUUUCCCCCUCUCUAAAUUUAUCGAUUUAAAGGGCAACACUUUAAAAUUCUCCAUAAUUUGUACGUACAGUGCAGUUUCGCUACUAGCUACUACUUCAAUUAAGACGCGUGCAACGUUCGUACUUGAUACGUUUACAAUAUUGUUUAUUUUGAUAUGCUAAUCAAGGUGCGCUUGCGCACUUGCGCUCUUCCGGAAGGAGCAUAGUAAGUGUAGAGAACGUUUGUUAGUGCAUGAUACGACGUACUCUGCUUUAUGCAAAACCAUAGGCCUAUGUAUUUUUAUUCUGUAUAUAUCUGUGUGUAUACGUCUGAAAAGUUCAAAACUAUUGAAAUGGUUUUGUUUUCUAAGGGUGGUAUGUGAUACAAUUCUCGCAGACAAAGAACUCAGCCCCCCUGGUAUAGGCCUAGUAAAAUCACAUCAAUUAGAGGAAACAGGGGAAACGAGGGAGGAGAAAGUCCAAGCACCUUAGACAGAUGGUGUCAUGUAUCAUAUGGAGAUAUUGAAUUUGAAAGUGCAUUUGCCAUUACACCAUUGGGGAUGGACAACAUAGACAUUCAUGAUUGUGAAAGCCAUAAACACAAAGACUGGAACCAUGUACUGUGCUGUUAAAGAAAAUAGACUAUCUAAGUAGACGUCAAGUGCAUUAUUUCAUUUAAUUCAAAAGUCAACAUUGUGUAAUUUUUUUCGUGGAUGACAUUGAUUAUUUGAUCUGAAUUUGCAAAAAUUGGAUUGAGUGGGAAUAAGUGCUGUGAUUUCAAAUGAAAACCAUGAUAGACACAUUGCUUUUUCAUCCAGAUGUAAGUAAAAUCAUAAAUGCAUAUUGAAAAUUCAGUUUAUUGGAAAUGACUGUGACUUGUGGGUAAUUGUUUUUUUAUUAUUUAUAAUUAAAAAACUUAUAUUAUUGGGAACAGUAUAAAUCUAUGGCUAAUUCUCUAAAUUUGAAGUGUUUUUUAUGCAUAUUAAAUCAAUAUAAAUUGA
Molecule: long non-coding RNA, 1693 nt
Organism: Ostrea edulis (European flat oyster)
Lineage: Eukaryota; Metazoa; Mollusca; Bivalvia; Ostreida; Ostreidae
Exons: 2
Source: RefSeq, a predicted model, not a curated record